RNAcentral lists this unclassified non-coding RNA (403 nucleotides) under soil metagenome. Its description in RNAcentral is "partial contains 5.8S ribosomal RNA, internal transcribed spacer 2, and large subunit ribosomal RNA". The stretch from base 1 to 120 matches the Rfam family "5.8S ribosomal RNA", at positions 35 to 154 of the family's 154-position model. The record is from RNAcentral.
GAUGAAGAACUCAGCGAAAUGCGAUAAGUAAUGUGAAUUGCAGAAUUCAGUGAAUCAUCGAAUCUUUGAACGCACCUUGCGCCCUUUGGACUUCUGAAGGGCAUGCCUGUUUGAGUAUCAUGAACACCUCAACUCCUUAUGGUCUUCCAUGAUGAGCUUGGACUUUGGGGGUUUUGCUGGCCUACAGUCAGCUCCUCUAAAAUAAAUCAGCUUACCGGUGUUUGGUGGGUAUCAUGGGUGUGAUAACUAUCUACGCUCGUGGUUUUCCACCAGGUAACCUUCAGCAGUGGAGGUUCACUGGAGCUCAUAGAUGUCUCUCCUCAGCGAGGACAGCCCUUUGAAUGUUUGAUCUCAAAUCAGGUAGGACUACCCGCUGAACUUAAGCAUAUCAAUAAGCGGAGGA